UGGGGAAUAUUGGGCAAUGGGCGAAAGCCUGACCCAGCCAUGCCGCGUGUGUGAUGAAGGCCUUAGGGUUGUAAAGCACUUUCGCUGGUGAAGAUAAUGACGGUAACCAGAUAAGAAGCCCCGGCUAACCUCGUGCCAGCAGCCGCGGUAAUACGAGGGGGGCUAGCGUUGUUCGGAAUUACUGGGCGUAAAGCGCGUGUAGGCGGAUAUGCAAGCUAGAGGUGAAAUCCCGGGGCUUAACCUCGGAACUGCCUUUAGAACUGCAUAUCUGGAGUAUUGGAGGGGAGUGCGGAAUUCCUAAUGUAGAGGUGAAAUUCGUAGAUAUUAGGAGGAACACCGGUGGCGAAGGCGGCACUCUGGACAAUUACUGACGCUGAGACGCGAAAGCGUGGGGAGCAAA
RNAcentral lists this ribosomal RNA (400 nucleotides) under uncultured bacterium. Its description in RNAcentral is "bacterial SSU rRNA". It matches the Rfam family "Bacterial small subunit ribosomal RNA", at positions 355 to 772 of the family's 1533-position model. The record is from RNAcentral.